UAGCAAAGCGAGCAGUUAUAUCGCACGAGAAGUUGCGCAAUAUUGUAGGUUCACAAAAUCGCUUCUAAUGCAUUUAUAACGAUUGAAUGGAUUUGUAGUUGUAUCUCCCACCUUGGUGGAAGUUAACGUGCAUGCGUGGUUCAUUGCCAUAUCCCACCACAUCAGUGCUAAACAAGCGUUCGUUAAAGUACAAACUAUCAAUAAUAUUUAGCGGAUUACUUCAAAACAAUUAAAAUUAACUUGAAUUAAAUUAUGGAAAAAGAAGAAAAAUGCGAGCACAGACGAAAUCCACGAGCUAGAACAAAUAUUAUCUCAAAAUUAUUGCUUCUAUAUAUAAUUCCUGUGCUCUAUAAAUCAUAUAAACAUGGUUUUACAAAAAACGAUCUUUAUGAAGUACUGAAAGAAGAUGAUUCGGAGCGUUUAACUGAUUCAUUGGAAAAUGCUUGGAAACAAGCAAAUAAAAAACAUAAAAAAUACACACUACACAUAGCACUAUUUAAAAUAUUUGGUGUACCAAUCUGUACAACUGGUAUUUUAUUAUUUAUCAAAGAAUUUUCAAGGAUAUUACUUAUUCCCGUCUCAAUUGGACGAUUAGUUACUUAUUUUUCUCACACCAAUGAAGAGAUUACACUCACAGAAGCUUACCUAUAUGCAACGACCUUAAUUGCCUAUUUGGCCGUGGAAAAACUAAUUGCUCAUUCGGUUAUGUUCUGGCUGCAACACAUGACGAUGAAGAUGCGCAUCUCUUGCAGCGGACUUAUCUACAGAAAAAUCCUGCAAUUCAAUAAAAAUUCAAUGCAUAAAAUUUCCGUCGGUCAUGUGGUUAACUUAAUGACGGGUGAUGCAAGUCGAUUUGAAAUGGGUUUCCAUUGUUUGCAUUAUAUAUGGAUUGCUCCGAUUGCUACCAUCACAGUUAUGAGUUAUCUAUACACAAAGAUGGGAUCAGUAUGUUUCUUAGGAAUUGGGUUUUUAUUGUUUUUAACACCUAUUCAGAUUUUAGCAGCGAAAAAAAAUGCUGGAUUACGUUUAAAAACAGCGCAAAGUACUGAUAUAAGAGUAAGAUUGAUGAAUGAGAUAAUAUCAGGAGUUCAAGUGAUUAAAAUGUAUACGUGGGAAAGACCGUUCGCCAAGU
Dalotia coriaria is the source of this 1132-nucleotide long non-coding RNA. RefSeq lists it as uncharacterized. Lineage: Eukaryota; Metazoa; Arthropoda; Insecta; Coleoptera; Staphylinidae. The record is from RefSeq and is a predicted model, not a curated record. The transcript has 4 exons.